This 4097-nucleotide long non-coding RNA is filed under the name Sus scrofa (pig). RNAcentral describes it as "lncRNA (ENSSSCG00000054143.1)". The record is from RNAcentral. Lineage: Eukaryota; Metazoa; Chordata; Mammalia; Artiodactyla; Suidae.
UAAUGAUUUUUAUUUUUUCCAUUAUAGCUGCUUUACAGUAUUCUGUCAGUUUUCUACUGUACAGCAAGGUGACCCAGUUACACAUACAUGUAUACAUUCUUUUUUCCUGCAUUAUCAUGCUCCAUCGUAAAUUACUAGAUAUAGUUCCCAGUGCUAUACAGCAGGAUCUCAUUGCUUAUCCAUUCCAAAGGCAAUAGUUUGCAUCUAUUAACCCCAGACUCCCAGUCCAUCCCACUCCCUCCCCUCCCCUUUUGCAAGCACAAGUCUAUUCUCCAUGUCCAUGAUUUUCUUUUUUGUGGAAAGGUUCAUUUGUGCCAUAUAUUAGAUUCCAGAUAUAAGUGAUAUCAUAUGGUAUUUGUCUUUUUCUUUCUGACUUACUUCACUUAGUAUGAGAGUCUCUAGUUCUAUCCAUGUUGUUGCAAAUGGCAUUAGUUUCUUUUUUAUUGCUGCAUAGUAUUCCAUUGUGUAUAAGUACCAUAUCUUCUUAAUCCAAUCAUAUGUUGAUGGACAUUUAUGUUGUUUCCAUGUCUCGGCUAUUGUGAAUAGUGCUGCAAUGAACAUACGGGUACAUGUGUCUUUUUCCAGGAAAGUUUUGUCUGGCUAUAUGCCCAAGAGUAGGAUUGCUGUGUAUAGUUUUCUAAAGUACCUCCAUACUGUUUUCCAUAGUGGUUGUACCAAUUUACAUUCCCACCAACAGUGUAGGAGGGUUCCCUUUUCUCCAUGCCCUCUCCAGGAAUUGUUUUGUGGACUUAUUAAUGAUGGCCAUUCUGACAGGUAUGAGGUGGUACCUCAUAGGUUUUUUUGAUUUACAUGUCUCUAAUAAUCAGUGAUGUUGAGCAUUUUUUCAUGUGCCUGUUGGCCAUCUGUAUAUCUUUUUUGGAUAAAUGUCUAUUCAGGUCUUUUGCCCAUUUUUCCAUUGGGUUGUUGGCUUUUUUGCUGUUGAGUUGUAUAAGUUGUGUGUAUAUUUUUGUCAGUUGCAUUAUUUGAAACUAUUUUCUCACAUUCUAUAAAUUGUCUUUUUUUUUUAUGGUUUCCUUUGCUGUGCAAAAGUUUGUCAGUUUGAUUAGGUCCCAUUGGUUAUUUUUACUUUAUUUCUGUUGCUUUGGGAGACUGACCUGAGAACACACUUGUAAGGUUGAUAUCAGAGAAUGUUUUGCUUAUGUUCUCUUCUAGUUUGAUGGUGUCUUGUCUUACAUUUAAGUCUUUAAGCAAUUUUGAGUUUAUUCUUGUGGAUGGUGUGAGGGUGCACAUUAUCCAAUAUUUUAAUCUUUUAUCUAGCAUUAUUUUGUGUUACAAAUUCAUUCUCAAGGAGUUCUUUUAGUGAGAGUCAGGUGGAGAUAAUUCUCUCAGGUUUUUUUUUUGGCAUAGUCUAACUGGGACCACUUCCAUAUAAAUUUUUAACUUGGAAAUUUUCAGGCCACACAAUUAAUAUAAAUCUCAAUCCUAUAUCCAUCUGAAGUCUGGCCUGAAGAUAAAUUUUCGCUGGAAGCUUUGUGGUAUGUAUUUACCUGCCUGAGUAGAAGCUGAAAAAAGCAAAUAUACUUAUGAUUGGGGAUUGGGGAAGACUAGAAAUGGGAUUUUUUUCUUUUUUCUGGUUCACCUGUUCACGGAAGAUGUUUCUUUUCAGUACUCUCCACUUUAUGUAGGAAUCUCUGACCUUUCACCUUGUUCUGUUUUGUAAGAAGUCACAAGUUUUGUUAAAAUUGAAGCUCUGAGGUACCUGGGUUUGAUGAAGCCUCCAGAAAUAGGUAAAUGCCCCCAGAGCAGCACCAUCUUCACUCAAAUGCCUUUCUGGAUUUCUAGCUCUCCAUUUUUUUGGCUUAGCUUUUCCUUCAUUUUCUUGCUGGCUCAAUGGUGCAUUUAAAGAGCCUUUAAAAAAUACUUUUUCAAGCAUUUGUAAGUGUUGCAUGCAGGGACAGCUUUUAAGGAUCUACUCUGCAUCUUUCUAGAACCAAUGCAUUCCACUCUUAAUAACUUGCACAUGGCAGCCAGAAGGACUACUUGUCUUCUAUCCCUAUAACUCACCAAGCUGAAUGACUUUGAAUACCUCUGUAAACCUCAGUUUUCUGCUUCCUUAUCUGCUGACUCUUUAUUAGAUCCCUUAAAAGAGAAAUCUUUUCAAUUUAUAUAACCUCCUUCCCGGAAGAGAUUUAGCAUUUUUGAUAAACCCCUUAAAUUUCUGGGGAAUUUUAAUGAGAUUAAGACUUGUAGGAAACAAAUUUGACUAACAGCUAAAAGUCUCAGUCUAAAAAUAACUAUGCAUUUUUUUAUCUGUAUACUGUAUAUCUUUUCUUUUUCUCUGUAAAUACCCUUAUCAAGAGCGAAUCUUUGAAUUGGAUUUCCACAGGGUUUUUUCUUUUGCAAUAAGAGAUCUAAAUCUAUGAUAUGCUCAUAACUUAAUAGUUUGAAAAGUUUUCAUUAACAAAUCUUUAACUUAAAAAAAAUAAAUAAAUGAAUUACUUGGGAGUUCUCUUGGCACAGCCAGUUAAGGAUGUGACAUUGUUACUGCAGUGGCUCAGGUCACUACUGUGGCUCAGUUAGAUCCUUGGCCUGGGAACUUCCACAUGCCACAGGCAUGGGCAAAAAGCAAAAAUAAAAACAAACAAAAAAGAAUUACCUUUGUUUUCAACUUUCAGCUCUAAGUUUAGGGGCACUAUAAACAAAUCAGACCAUCUUAGUUUCUACUGGAAAAAGUAAGAUAUUCUUGAACUGCAAGGAUAAAUAUUACCUUCAGAAAGAACUUUGUUUAAAAAAAGCGCAAAAUUGAAAACAACAAUGCAUGAAAAAUUUAAAUAGAAAUGUUAAUAACAGACUUAUGAGUUUUACUUGCAUUUCCUGUUGAUAUACAAAUUUGGAAAUUGUUCUGGCCAAGGCAUUCCCCCUCCAACUUUCAUCCUUAUGUUAUAGGAGAAAUGUAUUGAAUUUUUAAUGCACAUGGCUCCAUCUGAAGAAACAGGACUGGCUACAUGAAAAAAAGAAAAGACUUUUCUAACUCAUUUUAAUUCAGUUUUAAUUAUGUAAGGUUGAAAUAACAUUUUGGUGAUUUAGCUGAAAAGUAAUAAAAAUUAAGCCCUGGAGUAUUAGAAAAUCUAGAUUUCUCACUGACUGAAUUUUAUAAGUCACCUUUGUAUACUUCAAUGUUUUCUGUGCAGUGAGAAUAACGGUAACUCAACAUUUGAGUCAAAAUGAACUGGGUUGAAAUUUCUAGCAGUUGAAUCUGAGCUCCUUAUGCUUAUUUGUGGGGUAAUUAUAUCCAUAUUGUAAUAUUGUUGUGAGGAUUAAGUAGUGUCUAAAACAAGCACCAAGAGAGAGUAAAUAAUAGAGAUAGGAAGCAAGUACUUUUAAAGUCUAUACAUCAGAUUUCUUUAUAUUAAUGUAAUUAUUUAAUGAUUAACUUUUUAAAAUGUCUCCGUUGUAUUCCAAUUACUAUUUCAUUAGCAAGAAUCACUUUUUCUCCUUGCUUUUCAGCUUUAUCUACUGUGAAAAGGAUGCAACAUUUGUCAGUGCAAGGGGACUUCUCUCAAGCAGUGAGUUAUUCUGAUGUUAAGUUCAGGAAAACCCACCUGUAUUUCAGUAUGAAUUCCCCAGGAUGUGUGUGUGUGUGUAUAUGUGUGUGUGUGUGUGUGUGUGCGCACGCGCGCGCUCCUGCGUUUGCAAAUAUACAAGGAGAAAAGGGAACAAUGUUAAAUCUACUUAUACACUUGGCAUUGAUUAAUUGAACCAAAAAUCAUGGAAGCAAAAAAAUUAGGAGAGGAUUAGUUCUUCAGAGUUUAUAGCUGCUAAAGGGAGUUUUUAUAAAGGAUUCGACUUUGAGCAAAAAAUAUUUUGUUUUUUAUGCCCUUGAGAAGGAAUUGCAUGUGUUACAUGAAAAUGGUAUGCUGCUUGGCUGCAUUAAAAUGACAAGGGUCCAGCAGACACAUCAUAGCUAAUUUUAGUAGGCAGAGCAGACACACUUGAGCUUAUUUUUCUCUGACUCUCACUCCCCAUCCCAACCCCUCAGGUACACACAUUACAAGAUUCCCUAGAGUGAGAAGGUGGGAGUGGAGAGUUUCAGUACUGAAGGUGGUAGCUCUGGAUAUCAUACUGAUCUCAUUAAG